Molecule: non-coding RNA, 501 nt
Organism: Paramuricea clavata
Lineage: Eukaryota; Metazoa; Cnidaria; Anthozoa; Malacalcyonacea; Plexauridae
Source: the annotation of a GenBank genome assembly
CCACGACCGUAAACAGUUUUCCAAACAAGGUUUUCUUAUACUCUCGCAUGAUUUUAGGCAUUUCCAACAUCUAACAUUUAGCUGCUUCCCCUAUGAAAAACGUCACAUCGAAAUAAAGUUUUAGCGUUAUGGAAUAUAUUUUGCAUUCACUUGUUUUGUUAAAUUGAACUUUGUUUUGUUUUGUCAAGUCAAAUUUUGUUUUGUUAAAGUCAACGUCAGAUUAUAAAGUAGAAGUUGUAGAUCAUUUGCAUGGAUUAAUAUUGGAUUAGUUGCAUGUGCAUGAUAGGUAAUGGUUGUUGUGUUAUAUUUAUGCUACAAGGUACAACAGUAGCAAUGUUCCAAUUUUGUUAUGAGAAAGCAUUAGGGGCGGACCAUUUGAUUUUCGAGGGGGGAGGUGGAAGAUUCAAUCUGUGCAAGAAUUUUUUUUCCGCCCAGGCGAACGAGACAGAUAUUUUUUUCCUGUAAAAGUGCAGCGCAAGAUAUUUUUUCCCAAUAUAUUUG